Molecule: non-coding RNA, 73 nt
Organism: Desulfomicrobium orale DSM 12838
Lineage: Bacteria; Pseudomonadati; Thermodesulfobacteriota; Desulfovibrionia; Desulfovibrionales; Desulfomicrobiaceae
Source: Rfam
GGGGGUGUAGCUCAGCUGGGAGAGCGCCUGCCUUGCACGCAGGAGGUCAUCAGUUCGAUCCUGUUCACCUCCA